GAUGAACGCUAGCGGGAGGCUUAACACAUGGCAAGUCGAGGGGCAGUAUAGGGUAGCAAUACUCUGAUGGCGACCGGCAAACGGGUGAGUAACGCGUAUGCAACCUACCCUGUACAGGGGGAUAACCCGGAGAAAUUCGGACUAAUAUCCCGGUAAUAAUAUCCCGGAGGCAUCUUUGGAUAUUUAAAGUUCCGACGGUACGGGAUGGGCAUGCGUAACAUUAGCUGGUUGGUAAGGUAACGGCUUACCAAGGCUAUGAUUUUAGGGGGGGGGGGGUCCUGAGAGGGUGGUCCCCCACACUGGUACUGAGACACGGACCAGACUCCUACGGGAGGCAGCAGUGAGGAAUAUUGGUCAAUGAGCGCAAGCCUGAACCAGCCAUCCCGCGUGCAGGAAGACGGCCCUAUGGGUUGUUAAACUGCUUUUCCAGGGAGAGAAACUUACGCACGUGUUGCGUGACUGACGGUACCCUGGGAAUAAGCAUCGGCUAACUCCGUG
RNAcentral lists this ribosomal RNA (498 nucleotides) under uncultured bacterium. RNAcentral describes it as "partial 16S ribosomal RNA". It matches the Rfam family "Bacterial small subunit ribosomal RNA", at positions 28 to 507 of the family's 1533-position model. The record is from RNAcentral.